This 400-nucleotide ribosomal RNA is filed under the name uncultured bacterium. RNAcentral describes it as "bacterial SSU rRNA". It matches the Rfam family "Bacterial small subunit ribosomal RNA", at positions 356 to 773 of the family's 1533-position model. The record is from RNAcentral.
GGGGAAUAUUGCACAAUGGAGGAAACUCUGAUGCAGCAACGCCGCGUGGAGGAUGACGCAUUUCGGUGUGUAAACUCCUUUUAUAAGGGAAGAUAAUGACGGUACCUUAUGAAUAAGCACCGGCUAACUCCGUGCCAGCAGCCGCGGUAAUACGGAGGGUGCAAGCGUUACUCGGAAUCACUGGGCGUAAAGGAUGCGUAGGCUGGAAAUCAAGUCGAGAGUGAAAUCCAACGGCUCAACCGUUGAACUGCUCUCGAAACUGGUUACCUAGAAUAUGGGAGAGGUAGAUGGAAUUGGUGGUGUAGGGGUAAAAUCCGUAGAUAUCACCAGGAAUACCGAUUGCGAAGGCGAUCUACUGGAACAUUAUUGACGCUGAGGCAUGAAAGCGUGGGGAGCAAAC